AAUGGUGCAACGACUUGGAUACUGUCUCAACGAGAGACCCGGUGAAAUUAUAGUACCUGUGAAGAUGCAGGUUACCCGCGACAGGACGGAAAGACCCCAUGGAGCUUUACUGUAGCUUGAUAGUGAGUGUUGGUAUCAUCUGUACAGGAUAGGUAGGAGCCUUGGAAACCGGAGCGCUAGCUUCGGUGGAGGCGUCGGUGGGAUACUACCCUGAUGGUGCUGGCAUUCUAACCUCGACCCGUGAUCCGGGCCAGGGACAUU
This 261-nucleotide ribosomal RNA is filed under the name Shouchella clausii. RNAcentral's name for it is "Bacillus clausii partial 23S ribosomal RNA". It matches the Rfam family "Bacterial large subunit ribosomal RNA", at positions 1995 to 2255 of the family's 2925-position model. The record is from RNAcentral. Lineage: Bacteria; Bacillati; Bacillota; Bacilli; Caryophanales; Bacillaceae.